ACUCCGGUUGAUCCUGCCGGUCCCGACCGCUAUCGGGGUGGGGCUAAGCCAUGGGAGUCGUACGCCCCGCCGCUGCGGGGCGUGGCGGACGGCUGAGUAACACGUGGCUAACCUACCCUCGGGAGGGGGAUAACACCGGGAAACUGGUGCUAAUCCCCCAUAGAGGAGGGGGCCUGGAAGGGUCCCUCCUCGAAAAGGUGUGGCGGGGGUUAACGCUGCCGCACCGCCCGAGGAUGGGGCUACGGCCCAUUAGGUAGUUGGCGGGGUAACGGCCCGCCAAGCCGAUAAUGGGUAGGGGCCGUGAGAGCGGGAGCCCCCAGAUGGGCACUGAGACAAGGGCCCAGGCCCUACGGGGCGCACCAGGCGCGAAACCUCCGCAAUGCGGGAAACCGUGACGGGGCCACCCCGAGUGCCCCCUUACGGGGGCUUUUCCCCGCUGUACCAGGGCGGGGGAAUAAGCGGGGGGCAAGUCUGGUGUCAGCCGCCGCGGUAAUACCAGCCCCGCGAGUGGUCGGGACGAUUAUUGGGCCUAAAGCGCCCGUAGCCGGCUCGAGGUAAGUCUCCUCCUAAAUCCUCGGGCUCAACCCGAGGAUUGGAGGAGAUACUGUCGAGCUAGGGGGUGGGAGAGGCCGAGGGUACUCCCGGGGUAGGGGCGAAAUUUUAUAAUCCCGGGAGGACCACCAGUGGCGAAGGCGCUCGGCUGGAACACGCCCGACGGUGAGGGGCGAAAGCCGGGGGAGCGAACCGGAUUAGAUACCCGGGUAGUCCCGGCUGUAAACGAUGCGGGCUAGGUGUUGGGUGGGCCUAGAGCCCACCCAGUGCCGCAGGGAAGCCGUUAAGCCCGCCGCCUGGGGAGUACGGCCGCAAGGCUGAAACUCAAAGGAAUUGGCGGGGGAGCAC
RNAcentral lists this ribosomal RNA (900 nucleotides) under uncultured bacterium. Its description in RNAcentral is "bacterial SSU rRNA". It matches the Rfam family "Archaeal small subunit ribosomal RNA", at positions 1 to 879 of the family's 1478-position model. The record is from RNAcentral.